UUUGAGGUGCUUGUGAUCGCUGUGUCCGUGGUUGGCGCUGUCCUCGUGCUGGCCAUGUGCUGCUGUUGCUGUCGCUACUGUUGCUGUGGUCGUGGGGACGGUGGAGGCGGUCGCGAUUAUGCACGAGACAACCGCGCUAACCAGCUGAACCCCAACAACUGGCGCUUCUGGAGGGCCCGUGGUUACAAUACAUUUCAUUAGAGCAGAAUUUAAAAAAAUGCUAUAAACAGGAAAAUGCA
Molecule: long non-coding RNA, 239 nt
Organism: Branchiostoma floridae (Florida lancelet)
Lineage: Eukaryota; Metazoa; Chordata; Leptocardii; Amphioxiformes; Branchiostomatidae
Exons: 2
Source: RefSeq, a predicted model, not a curated record